This is a small nuclear RNA of Suricata suricatta (meerkat), 107 nucleotides long. Lineage: Eukaryota; Metazoa; Chordata; Mammalia; Carnivora; Herpestidae. The record is from Ensembl.
AUGCUCCCUUUGGCAGCACAUGUUCUAAAAUUGGAAUGAUACAGAGGAGAAUAGCAUGGCCCCUGCACAAGGAUGACACACAAAUUCAUAAAGUGUUUCAGUGCUGU